GGCCGGAUGGUGGAAUCGGUAGACACAAGGGAUUUAAAAUCCCUCGGCGUUCGCGCUGUGUGGGUNNUGGGUUCAAGUCCCACUCCGGCUACCA
RNAcentral lists this transfer RNA (94 nucleotides) under Enterobacter hormaechei. Its description in RNAcentral is "tRNA-Leu". It matches the Rfam family "tRNA". Rfam says of the family: Transfer RNA (tRNA) molecules are approximately 80 nucleotides in length. Lineage: Bacteria; Pseudomonadati; Pseudomonadota; Gammaproteobacteria; Enterobacterales; Enterobacteriaceae. The record is from RNAcentral.